RNAcentral lists this ribosomal RNA (779 nucleotides) under uncultured euryarchaeote. Its description in RNAcentral is "bacterial SSU rRNA". It matches the Rfam family "Archaeal small subunit ribosomal RNA", at positions 517 to 1293 of the family's 1478-position model. Lineage: Archaea; Methanobacteriati; Methanobacteriota. The record is from RNAcentral.
AUCCGUAGCUGGCUUUGUAAAUGUCCUGUGAAAUCGUUACGCUCAACGUAACGGCGGGCAGGGCAGACUGCAUUGCUAGGGACCAGGAGGGGUAGGGAGUAUUCCCGGGGGAGCGGUAAAAUGUUAUAAUCCCGGGAGGACUACCGAUGGCGAAGGCACUCUACCAGAAUGGAUCCGACGGUGAGGGAUGAAAGCUAGGGGAGCGAUCCGGAUUAGAUACCCGAGUAGUCCUAGCUGUAAACGCUGCAUGCGAGAUGUUGCACAAUCUUCGGGAUUGUGCAGUGUCGAAACGAAGGUGACAAGCAUGCCACCUGGGAAGUACGGUCGCAAGGCUGAAACUUAAAGGAAUUGGCGGGGGAGCACUACAAGGGGUGCGGCGUGCGGUUUAAUCGAAUUCAACGCCGAGAAUCUCACCAGGGGCGCCGGCAGAAUGAAGGCUCAGUCUGAAGGGCUUACCUGACGAGCCGAGAGGUAUUGCAUUGGCCAGCGUCAGCUCGUGCCGUGAGGUGUCCUGUUAAGUCAGGCAACGAGCGAGACCUGCAUCCAUACUUGCUAACGGCGUCUUCGGACGGACUGAGCACAUUAUGGAGACUGCCUUCGAAAGAAGGAGGAAGGUGCAGGCUACGCUAGGUCUGUAUGGUCCGAAUCUCCUGGGCUACACGCGCGCAACAAUGGUAGGGACAAUGGGAUGCAACCCCGAAAGGGGGAGCUAAACCUCGAAACCCUAUCCAAGUACAGAUUGAGGGUUGCAACUCACCCUCAUGAAGUCGGAAUCCCUA